RNAcentral lists this ribosomal RNA (629 nucleotides) under uncultured bacterium. Its description in RNAcentral is "bacterial SSU rRNA". The stretch from base 1 to 540 matches the Rfam family "Bacterial small subunit ribosomal RNA", at positions 338 to 873 of the family's 1533-position model. The record is from RNAcentral.
CCUACGGGAGGCAGCAGUGGGGAAUUUUGGACAAUGGGCGCAAGCCUGAUCCAGCAAUGCCGCGUGCAGGAUGAAGGCCUUCGGGUUGUAAACUGCUUUUGUACGGAACGAAACGGUCUGCCCUAAUACGGUGGGCUAAUGACGGUACCGUAAGAAUAAGCACCGGCUAACUACGUGCCAGCAGCCGCGGUAAUACGUAGGGUGCGAGCGUUAAUCGGAAUUACUGGGCGUAAAGCGUGCGCAGGCGGUUAUAUAAGACAGAUGUGAAAUCCCCGGGCUCAACCUGGGACCUGCAUUUGUGACUGUAUAGCUAGAGUACGGUAGAGGGGGAUGGAAUUCCGCGUGUAGCAGUGAAAUGCGUAGAUAUGCGGAGGAACACCGAUGGCGAAGGCAAUCCCCUGGACCUGUACUGACGCUCAUGCACGAAAGCGUGGGGAGCAAACAGGAUUAGAUACCCUGGUAGUCCACGCCCUAAACGAUGUCAACUGGUUGUUGGGUCUUCACUGACUCAGUAACGAAGCUAACGCGUGAGUAGACGCCGNGGGAGGACGGCCGCGAGGUUAGUAACGUACGAAAGGAAGUUAGACGGCGUGAGACGUAGACCGAACGGACGACGACGAGGGAGGAGG